GACGAACGCUGGCGGCGUGCCUAAUACAUGCAAGUUGAGCGAUGAAGAUUGGUGCUUGCACCAAUUUGAAGAGCAGCGAACGGGUGAGUAACGCGUGGGGAAUCUGCCUUUGAGCGGGGGACAACAUUUGGAAACGAAUGCUAAUACCGCAUAACAACUUUAAACAUAAGUUUUAAGUUUGAAAGAUGCAAUUGCAUCACUCAAAGAUGAUCCCGCGUUGUAUUAGCUAGUUGGUGAGGUAAAGGCUCACCAAGGCGAUGAUACAUAGCCGACCUGAGAGGGUGAGCGGCCACAUUGGGACUGAGACACGGCCCAAACGCCUACGGGAGGCAGCAGUAGGGAAUCGUCGGCAAUGGACGAAAGUCUGACCGAGCAACGCCGCGUGAGUGAAGAAGGUUGUCGGAUCGUAAAACUCUGUUGGUAGAGAAGAACGUUGGUGAGAGUGGAAAGCUCAUCAAGUGACGGUAACUACUCAGAAAGGGACGGCUAACUACGUG
This 497-nucleotide ribosomal RNA is filed under the name uncultured bacterium. Its description in RNAcentral is "partial 16S ribosomal RNA". It matches the Rfam family "Bacterial small subunit ribosomal RNA", at positions 28 to 507 of the family's 1533-position model. The record is from RNAcentral.